This 497-nucleotide ribosomal RNA is filed under the name uncultured bacterium. RNAcentral describes it as "partial 16S ribosomal RNA". It matches the Rfam family "Bacterial small subunit ribosomal RNA", at positions 28 to 507 of the family's 1533-position model. The record is from RNAcentral.
GACGAACGCUGGCGGCGUGCCUAAUACAUGCAAGUUGAGCGCUGAAGGUUGGUACUUGUACUGACUGGAUGAGCAGCGAACGGGUGAGUAACGCGUGGGGAAUCUGCCUUUGAGCGGGGGACAACAUUUGGAAACGAAUGCUAAUACCGCAUAAAAACUUUAAACACAAGUUUUAAGUUUGAAAGAUGCAAUUGCAUCACUCAAAGAUGAUCCCGCGUUGUAUUAGCUAGUUGGUGAGGUAAAGGCUCACCAAGGCGAUGAUACAUAGCCGACCUGAGAGGGUGAUCGGCCACAUUGGGACUGAGACACGGCCCAAACUCCUACGGGAGGCAGCAGUAGGGAAUCUUCGGCAAUGGAAGAAAGUCUGACCGAGCAACGCCGCGUGAGUGAAGAAGGUUUUCGGAUCGUAAAACUCUGUUGGUAGAGAAGAACGUUGGUGAGAGUGGAAAGCUCAUCAAGUGACGGUAACUACCCAGAAAGGGACGGCUAACUACGUG